GAGUUCGAUCCUGGCUCAGGAUAAACACUAGCGGCAUGCUUAACACAUGCAAGUCGGACGGGAAGUGGUGUUUCCAGUGGCGGACAGGUGAGUAACACGUAAGAACCUGCCCUUGGGAGGAGAACAACAGCUGGAAACGGUUGCUAAUACCCCGUAGGCUGAGAAGCAAAAGGAGGAAUCCGCCUUAGGAGGGGCUCGCGUCUGAUUAGCCGGUUGCUGAGGCAAUAGCUUACCAAGGCGAUAAUCAGUAGCUAGUCUGAGAGGAUGAUCAGCCACACUAGGACUGAGACACGGCCCCAGACUCCUAGAGGAGGUGGCAGUGGAGAAUUUUUUGUAAUGGGCGAAAGCCUUACAGAGCAAUGCUGCAUGGAGGUAGAAGGUCUACGGGUCAUGAACUUCUUUUCCUGGAGAAGAAGCAAUGACAAUACCUGGGGAAUAAGCAUCAGCUAACUCUAUGCUAGCAGCCGCGGUAUUACAGAGGAUGCAAGCGUUAUCC
RNAcentral lists this non-coding RNA (496 nucleotides) under Ricinus communis (castor bean). RNAcentral describes it as "Bacterial small subunit ribosomal RNA". It matches the Rfam family "Bacterial small subunit ribosomal RNA", at positions 9 to 546 of the family's 1533-position model. Lineage: Eukaryota; Viridiplantae; Streptophyta; Magnoliopsida; Malpighiales; Euphorbiaceae. The record is from Rfam by way of RNAcentral.